AGUUGUGCGGUUAAAAGCUCGUAGUUGAAACUGUGUCCUGCGGCGUCGGUCUGCCGAUUGCGGCACGACAGGCGCGACUGCGGGGCUUCUCGCCGGUGCGUCCCCCGCCGUCAAGGGUGUGCCGCUUGCGUCCCCGUUCCGUCGUCCGUUUCCGCGUGUCAGAUGCGGACGCGCAAAAAGGGCGUGCGACUGUCCGGGUUCGUCUCGCGCGUUCCCGCCGGCGCUCAUCGCAUCAGCGGUGUGCCGUCGGUCGGGGCGCGCUUGCGUUCUCGGCGUCCUCGCUUGCGUCUCGCGUUCGGCGCGGUGCGGGUCAAACGGCGGACGGGUAAAAGGCGUGGGCGCGUCGCCUCGGCGGGACGUCGCGGCCGUUUACUUUGAACAAAUUAGAGUGCUCAAAGCGGGCUAACACACGCCUGAAUAUUUUACGCAUGGAAUAAUGGAAUAGGACCUCGGUUCUGUUUUGUUGGCUUUCUGUUAACCGGAGGUAAUGAUUAAUAGGGACAACUGGGGGCAUUCGUAUUGCGACGUUAGAGGUGAAAUUCUUGGAUCGUCGCAAGACGGACUAAAGCGAAAGCAUUUGCCAAAGGUGUUUUCAUUAAUCAAGAACGAAAGUUAGAGGUUCGAAGGCGAUUAGAUACCGCUGUAGUUCUAACCAUAAAUGAUGCCAGCCAGCGAUCCGCCGAAGUUUUCUCAUAUUUAACCCGGUGGGCAGCUCCCGGGAAACCAAAGCUUUC
Molecule: ribosomal RNA, 734 nt
Filed under: Helicopsyche borealis
Lineage: Eukaryota; Metazoa; Arthropoda; Insecta; Trichoptera; Helicopsychidae
Description: bacterial SSU rRNA
Rfam family: Eukaryotic small subunit ribosomal RNA
Source: RNAcentral